Molecule: ribosomal RNA, 403 nt
Filed under: uncultured bacterium
Lineage: Bacteria
Description: bacterial SSU rRNA
Rfam family: Bacterial small subunit ribosomal RNA
Source: RNAcentral
AGGGAAUAUUGCUUAAUGGGCGAAAGCCUGAAGCAGCAACGCCGCGUGUGUGAAGAGGGCCUUCGGGUUGUAAAACACUUUUUGAGGGAAUGAGGAAGGACAGUACCCUCAGAAUAAGCCUCGGCUAACUACGUGCCAGCAGCCGCGGUAAAACGUAGGAGGCGAGCGUUAUCCGGAUUUACUGGGCGUAAAGCGCGUGCAGGCGGCACGGCAAGUUGGAUGUGAAAGCUCCCGGCUUAACUGGGAGAGGUCGUUCAAAACUGCCGAGCUAGAGUGCGGGAGAGGGAGGUGGAAUUCCGGGUGUAGUGGUGAAAUGCGUAGAUAUCCGGAGGAACACCAGUGGCGAAAGCGGCCUCCUGGUCCGCAACUGACGCUCAGACGCGAAAGCUAGGGUAGCAAACGG